CGCACAUUGCGCCCUUUGGUAUUCCGAGGGGCAUGCCUGUUCGAGCGUCAUUUCAAACAUCAGGCAAUGCUUGGUAUUGGGCACGGUGCAAGUUACCCGCCUAUAACACAAUUGGCAGUGCCGCCCGGCCCCGAGCGUAGCAAGAGAAAUCACUCGCUCGGCGCCCGUGCGUCGCCCGCCGCGUAAACUUAACCCAGAGUUUGACCUCGGAUCAGGUAGGGAUACCCGCUGAACUUAA
Molecule: unclassified non-coding RNA, 238 nt
Filed under: Hyaloscyphaceae sp.
Lineage: Eukaryota; Fungi; Ascomycota; Leotiomycetes; Helotiales; Hyaloscyphaceae
Description: partial contains 5.8S ribosomal RNA, internal transcribed spacer 2, and large subunit ribosomal RNA
Source: RNAcentral